Long non-coding RNA from Engraulis encrasicolus (European anchovy), 1412 nucleotides. RefSeq lists it as uncharacterized. NCBI's taxonomy places the organism in Eukaryota, Metazoa, Chordata, Actinopteri, Clupeiformes, Engraulidae. The record is from RefSeq and is a predicted model, not a curated record. The transcript has 2 exons.
GGUAGGGUUGGAGAUCUUUGAAAAACGGUUCCUGUGAGCUAUAUUUUUGAAAAUACACAGCCCGCCUCUCCCUUCAGCCCUCCCCUCAAAGCCACGCCUUCAAAACACAUGAACGCGCAUGCAGUCUGUCAAGUGUUCGGAUUAUCCCGGGAACCCACGAGAGCUCACGAGGCGGGGGGGGCGGGCUAGAAGCCACGACAAAGCGACUAGCCAAGCUAACUUCCAGCCAUGGCACCGUCUCCGGCUACGACCUUCCACGACCACGAGAGCUCCAGCUCUGACUUUCCUGGCCCAUCACAAUCAUAACGACCUAACAGCCCAGUAGGACCGAUGGCCAGAGAUGGAGGAGGAGGAAGAUAGACGCAGCAGAGGUCGGGGGGUAUUGAUUAGGGAGACUCCAACAGAAUUGACGCCCUGCUAACUGUAAGGAUGUACAUUCAUCCCUCAAUAACAUUGUCCUGCUGUAUUCCUGCAGAUGUGUAAGUAUUGUAAUGGAUGUUAUCACAACGGAUGUACUCUAUAUCGCAACACGAGUAGGCUACACGAGUACACCUGUUGUGAUAACCAUUACAAUAUUUCUACUCCUAUGAGUAGUAGUGUGAUAUUACAUGGUUGUAGGUACACAACACCAGUGGUAGUUCAAGUACAUCCAUAAAAGCCCAUCUACUUCAUACAUCUGUGUAACCCCUGGCACAACACCAGUUUGUAAGAAAUUGACUGAAAACGUUGUAUGCAUAUAAUUGGCACAUCUUUAUUUAUAUACACAAUAAUGAUUGCUUAUGUCCAUAUUGGUCUUAUUGUCAAUAGAGUUAUUUAGUCCCCAUCAUCAAAUAGAAAAUGCACUACAUAAAAUGUAUUUAUUGCUUUGCAGGCCUUGAUUCAAUCAUUGAAUUUGAAGCAAUCCCAUCGGUUACUGCAGCGUGCCCUGACCCGUGACCCCAGUUUGAUGUUCGACCUGGCACAUGACGGUCCUUAGUCACAGCCCAGUAGCACAACCAACCUGGCGCCUCUGCGCAAUCUGUAAGGAGAUGCCCAUGAACAUUGAAAGGAAAUGCUGUGGUGUUCUCAGUUUUGAGAAGACUUUGGGCUGAUGUAGGACCAGGUGAGAGAAACGGUCUCUUCAGGCAUGCAGCCUACAGACAGUAUGGGGCACUUGAACAGGGCUGACGUUGUAAUACACAGUACAAUACCCAGGAUUAGCCAGGGUUACCCUGCUCCACUAGAGCAAUAUAAAAGGUUUAUACAGAGUACGGUAUAAAACACACAAACCGGCAGUGUGCAGACUUUUAUUAUUUUUCAUUAUCUGUAGGAGCAUUCAUCUGUACAUCUCACCUUUUUGGUUUGGAACCACGUUUGUCUUGUUACCAUUGUUUUUUUCAUACAUAGAAAAUAAAUGCAACCUGUCAAAUGUU